Triticum urartu is the source of this 2580-nucleotide RNA transcript. RefSeq lists it as uncharacterized. NCBI's taxonomy places the organism in Eukaryota, Viridiplantae, Streptophyta, Magnoliopsida, Poales, Poaceae. The record is from RefSeq and is a predicted model, not a curated record.
GUUGUGGAUACACCUCCCCCAGAUGGAUUCCUUUUGCUGCCUUUCCCACGAAGUCUCUCUCUCGUUUCCUCUCCUCCAGCCCCAUGCCCAUCAUCCCCUCCCCUGCUGAUUCGCCGCCAAAUCCACAUCGCCACCGUGACUGUUGCAGGAACGAGGCAUGAGGGUGGAGGCGAGGGAGAUAGGGGAGGCCGGACAAGGGUGACGUGGCGUUCCGUGGCCGCGAUGGCCGGAGGGCGAGGGAGAGAGGAGAGGCAGGAUGAGGGCGGCAUGGCCGCGGUGGCCGGAGGGCGAGGGAGAGAGGGGAGGCCGGACGAGGGCGGCGUGUCGUUCUGUGGCCGUGGUGGCAGGAGGGGUGGCUCCCCCGCUCUCGUGCAGCCACUUCUCUGACCGCAUUGCAGCGACGACGCGAGUUUGGCUAUCGACAAGGUACAUAAUGUUCAGCCUAAAACGGUGUUGGUGCUUCGUGAAAAGUUUGGCCAACACCAUUUUGACAAAUAGAAAAGUUCAGUACAGUAGCCAUCGGACUAAAAAUAAUAUAGCGAGCCAGGCCAGAUCUUGCCAAGUGAAUAUUAUCUAUUUGAGGACUAAUGCACUGAUGUCCUACAACUUGAUAUGCUACAAGAAAAAGAAUGGAAGUGUUCUAAAACAGCAGUCACUGCAUGCUGAAGAAAAAUGUGAGGAAGCGGAAGCUAGAGCCAACGAGCUUGAGAAGAAGAUGGCCUCCUAUUCAGCUCGGAUCAAGUGAGGCACGGGCGAGGGGAGGGCUGGUGGCCCGCGCCGCUGUUGUAGCCAAGGAUGACGCUGCGAGCUUCGAUUUGGCGGGCUCUCCUUACUAGCUGUUCUGCUGGUGUGGUCUAGCCACGAUACUACACUGCGAUGAUUGUCGGGGGAGUUAAAUCUUCAACAAUUAGUUAUAGUGAAAUUGCAAACAAUUAUGUGGCUUCAAAGGAUCCUGACGUGGAAGGUGAAAACGGUGAAGUUGAUGUUGAUCUAGAAAGUUUUUCUGAUAUUGAUGAUGUGGAGAUUCACGGGUAUCUUCAAAUUGAGUAAACGACACAGUAGAAAAAGAUAAUUUGGGAGGAAAUGAACAAAGAAUAUCUAGAGGUAGGUAUUGUAACUCUAGCAAGAUGAGGUGGUUCUUAUUCUCACAAGAGGGUGAAAGUAUUACAGUCCGCUGCUUUAUUUGACAGGAAAAUUCCACUAUUAGUAUUCAACGAUUUUAUGUCUACCAUUAGGAUAUUGGCAUCUCUCAUCUAUUAGUAUUCAACGAUUUUAUGUCUCUUUAGGCAUUGUAAGGUUUUUCAGUCGUGCGACUUGCUUUAUUACUUACCAUUUUCUGAUGUUCAUGGUUAGCUGUCAUUUUGUAUUGCUAUAUACUACUCCCCCCGUCCCAUAAUACAAGAUCAUUUUGCAAGCAAUGAUCUUAUAUUAUGGGACGGAGGUAGUAGCGGUUACCAUUUUCUUUUUUGCUACACAACUCGUUUAAUUUCUGUAUUUUUGUUGUUUCUUUGUUGAUUAGGUAGCAUCUUCUUUUAAGCAUUUUAUUGGACCUGAUUGGAUGUACUUUCCUACAUAUUUGUUUGUUUACUAGACAAUAUGCUACCCUGUUUUAUCAUGUGUACAAUUUAUGUGUGUGCCGCCUACUGGGUACUUGUGUUCUGCAUGUUUUUUCUUAUACAAAUGAACAUUGUCAGUAACAUGGAUUGAUUAUUUAACCAAGGUGAUUUCUUUCAUUCCAGCUGAUCCAGUGCAUUAGGUUGUGUUCUUUGUUAAGCAUAUGCACAUAAGUGCGAAGACAUCUCUUUUUUGGUUUUUUUCAAUGCAGAGUGAUCACCUAUUGGUUUUGCACUGCAUCAACACUUUGUGAUUCUGCUUGUUAUCCCCUCGUUAAGGAAGAUUAAGUUCAUCAAUGUAGAAAAUUAAUCUUAAGGAAGCAUUUUGGAGUUUAGGCAGCAAGCUUGAAGAGUGUCCUGUCGCCACCAGCAGUAGCACCCACCGCGGCUUGCCUCCUGCAUCCACCUCACCCCGCCAGUGUACUGCCGCCACCAGCUCUAGCACCUACCGCGCCUUGCCUCCUGCCUCCACCUCCCCCCACCGUACCUAACCUGCAGCAGCAGCUGCUGCCCACCGUCACCGUUCUGGCCCCUACUAACCUCCCACCGCUGCCACCGGCCACUGUCAAGCAUCCGAUGGUUGAUUGGAAAGAGACUUCCGUCAGGGCAGCUGAGCCUAGUGACGAUGAGCAUGAGUGGGAUCUGAAGGCCAGGUGGUGUUGUGGGGCUUGAUGGACCGUGACUGCUUCUUUUCCCAAACAGUCUGUGAAUCAUUUUGGUUUGGAAAAAGUGAGAACGAACUAGUUCGAGAAAGCAGAAAAAAACACGCCUCGUGUAGAAAUGACCUUGGACGCAUUUGAUGGAUCUGGUGAUGGGAGAUUUUCUUUUCUUGUCGCAUGGAUUUAACGUGACUUCUUCCCAUACAAGUUAUAUGUUGUCGCGGGAAGAAGAUUUCAUGGAGAUGCCCAUGUAAUGAUGUAAAUGGAGUAUGUUUGAGUCUGUCUGGUCCGAUGACUUAUUUUGGUCA